GAGUUUGAUCAUGGCUCAGAUUGAACGCUGGCGGCAGGCUUAACACAUGCAAGUCGAGCGGGGAGANGUAGCUUGCUACAUUACCUAGCGGCGGACGGGUGAGUAAUGCUUAGGAAUCUGCCUAUUAGUGGGGGACAACAUUCCGAAAGGAAUGCUAAUACCGCAUACGCCCUACGGGGGAAAGCAGGGGAUCUUCGGACCUUGCGCUAAUAGAUGAGCCUAAGUCAGAUUAGCUAGUUGGUGGGGUAAAGGCCUACCAAGGCGACGAUCUGUAGCGGGUCUGAGAGGAUGAUCCGCCACACUGGGACUGAGACACGGCCCAGACUCCUACGGGAGGCAGCAGUGGGGAAUAUUGGACAAUGGGCGNAAGCCUGAUCCAGCCAUGCCGCGUGUGUGAAGAAGGCCUUUUGGUUGUAAAGCACUUUAAGCGAGGAGGAGGCUACUUGGAUUAAUACUCUAGGA
This 462-nucleotide ribosomal RNA is filed under the name Acinetobacter johnsonii. RNAcentral describes it as "bacterial SSU rRNA". It matches the Rfam family "Bacterial small subunit ribosomal RNA", at positions 9 to 472 of the family's 1533-position model. The record is from RNAcentral. Lineage: Bacteria; Pseudomonadati; Pseudomonadota; Gammaproteobacteria; Moraxellales; Moraxellaceae.